This 239-nucleotide ribosomal RNA is filed under the name uncultured bacterium. RNAcentral's name for it is "partial 16S ribosomal RNA". It matches the Rfam family "Bacterial small subunit ribosomal RNA", at positions 538 to 776 of the family's 1533-position model. The record is from RNAcentral.
GCGUUGUUCGGAAUUACUGGGCGUAAAGGGCUCGUAGGCGGCCAACUAAGUCAGACGUGAAAUCCCUCGGCUUAACCGGGGAACUGCAUCUGAUACUGGAUGGCUUGAGUUCGGGAGAGGGAUGCGGAAUUCCAGGUGUAGCGGUGAAAUGCGUAGAUAUCUGGAGGAACACCGGUGGCGAAGGCGGCAUCCUGGACCGACACUGACGCUGAGGAGCGAAAGCCAGGGGAGCAAACGGG